GGAGAGGUUGAGUUGAACGGUAGGGCGUCUGAUUCCAUGCAGAAGGUCCCAGAUUCAAUCCCUGGCCUCUCCA
Non-coding RNA from Podarcis lilfordi (Lilford's wall lizard), 73 nucleotides. NCBI's taxonomy places the organism in Eukaryota, Metazoa, Chordata, Lepidosauria, Squamata, Lacertidae. The record is from the annotation of a GenBank genome assembly.